Molecule: ribosomal RNA, 964 nt
Filed under: Nannochloropsis oceanica
Lineage: Eukaryota; Eustigmatophyceae; Eustigmatales; Monodopsidaceae
Description: bacterial SSU rRNA
Rfam family: Bacterial small subunit ribosomal RNA
Source: RNAcentral
AAUUAACUUCGGUUAAUUUUAGUGGCGGACGGGUGAGUAACACGUGAGAAUUCGCCUUUAGGAGGGGGAUAACGGAUGGAAACAUUCGCUAAAACCCCAUAUGCCCCUGGGUGAAACAGAGGAGAUAAGUAAUACUGACUCUUACCUCUGCCUGAAGAGAAGCUCGCGGCUGAUUAGCUAGUUGGUAGGGUAAAGGCCUACCAAGGCGACGAUCAGUAGCUGGUCUGAGAGGACGAUCAGCCACACUGGAACUGAGACACGGUCCAGACUCCUACGGGAGGCAGCAGUGAGGAAUUUUCUGCAAUGGGCGAAAGCCUGACAGAGCAAUACCGCGUGAGGGAUGAAGACUUACUGAGUUGUAAACCUCGGUACCUUAAGGAAGAAGAUCUGACGGUACUUAAGGUGGAAAGCAUCGGCUAACUCCGUGCCAGCAGCCGCGGUAAGACGGGGGAUGCAAGUGUUAUCCGGAUUUACUGGGCGUAAAGCGUCUGCAGGUGGUUUUCUAAGUCUACUGUUAAAUCUUGAGGCUCAACCUCAAAUCUGCAGUAGAAACUAGAAGACUUGAGUAUAGUAGGGGUAGAGGGAAUUUCCAGUGGAGCGGUGAAAUGCGUAGAUAUUGGAAAGAACACCGAUGGCGAAGGCACUCUACUGGGCUAUUACUGACACUCAGAGACGAAAGCUAGGGGAGCAAAUGGGAUUAGAUACCCCAGUAGUCCUAGCCGUAAACGAUGGAUACUCGAUGUUGGACGUAUCAACCCGUUCAGUAUCUUAGCUAACGCGUUAAGUAUCCCGCCUGGGGAGUACGCUCGCAAGAGUGAAACUCAAAGGGAAUUGACGGGGGGCCCGCACAAGCGGUGGAGGAUGUGGUUUAAUUCGAUGCAACGCGAAGAACCUUACCAGGGUUUGCUAGAAGUGUUGGUUUUCUGAAAGAAUUCCUUAUUCCGCUUCUACAGGUGGUGCAUGG